UAAGAAAAAGGAUUAUAACUGGAGAGUUUGAUCCUGGCUCAGAAUGAACGCUGUCUGCAUGGAUUAGGCAUGCAAGUCGAACGAAAGCUUUUUUAACAAUCCUUCGGGUGCGUUAUUUAAGUGAAAGUGGCGAAAGGG
Molecule: ribosomal RNA, 138 nt
Filed under: Desulfobacula sp.
Lineage: Bacteria; Pseudomonadati; Thermodesulfobacteriota; Desulfobacteria; Desulfobacterales; Desulfobacteraceae
Description: partial 16S ribosomal RNA
Rfam family: Bacterial small subunit ribosomal RNA (bases 16-138)
Source: RNAcentral